This 496-nucleotide ribosomal RNA is filed under the name uncultured bacterium. RNAcentral's name for it is "partial 16S ribosomal RNA". It matches the Rfam family "Bacterial small subunit ribosomal RNA", at positions 29 to 507 of the family's 1533-position model. The record is from RNAcentral.
AUGCACGCUGGCGGCGUGCCUCAUCCCUGCAAGUCGCGCGCACGGACGAGAAGCUUGCUUCUCUGAUGUUAGCGGCGGACGGGUGAGUAACACGUGGAUAACCUACCUAUAAGACUGGGAUAACUUCGGGAAACCGGAGCUAAUACCGGAUAAUAAUUUGAACCGCAUGGUUCAAAAGUGAAAGACGGUCUUGCUGUCACUUAUAGAUGGAUCCGCGCUGCAUUAGCUAGUUGGUAAGGUAACGGCUUACCAAGGCAACGAUGCAUAGCCGACCUGAGAGGGUGAUCGGCCACACUGGAACUGAGACACGGUCCAGACUCCUACGGGAGGCAGCAGUAGGGAAUCUUCCGCAAUGGGCGAAAGCCUGACGGAGCAACGCCGCGUGAGUGAUGAAGGUCUUCGGAUCGUAAAACUCUGUUAUUAGGGAAGAACAUAUGUGUAAGUAACUGUGCACAUCUUGACGGUACCUAAUCAGAAAGCCACGGCUAACUACGUG